RNAcentral lists this ribosomal RNA (483 nucleotides) under uncultured bacterium. Its description in RNAcentral is "partial 16S ribosomal RNA". It matches the Rfam family "Bacterial small subunit ribosomal RNA", at positions 28 to 523 of the family's 1533-position model. The record is from RNAcentral.
GACGAACGCUGGCGGCGUGCUUAACACAUGCAAGUCGGACGAUGAAGCUGGAGCUUGCUCUGGCGGAUUAGUGGCGAACGGGUGAGUAACACGUGAGAAAUCUGCCCUUGACUCUGGGAUAACUGCGGGAAACUGUAGCUAAUACCGGAUACUUUCCCUGGUGGGCAUCCACUGGGGAAGAAAGAAUUUCGGUCAAGGAUGAUCUCGCGGCCUAUCAGCUUGUUAGUGAGGUAUGGCUCACCAAGGCGACGACGGGUAGCCGGCCUGAGGGGGUGACCGGCCACACUGGGACUGAGACACGGCCCAGACUCCUGCGGGAGGCAGCAGUGGGGAAUAUUGCACAAUGGGCGAAAGCCUGAUGCAGCGACGCCGCGUGAGGGAUGACGGCCUUCGGGUUGUAAACCUCUUUCAGUAGGGAAGAAGCGAAAGUGACGGUACCUGCAGAAGAAGCACCGGCUAACUACGUGCCAGCCGCCGCUGUAA